RNAcentral lists this long non-coding RNA (1083 nucleotides) under Oryctolagus cuniculus (rabbit). RNAcentral's name for it is "lncRNA (ENSOCUG00000033058.1)". The record is from RNAcentral. Lineage: Eukaryota; Metazoa; Chordata; Mammalia; Lagomorpha; Leporidae.
AUGAUCCAGAGCCAAAGCGUUCGUGUCUGUUUUGACUCAGGUGGAGAGGAUGAUGAAACAGUGACCAGCACUAUUCAGAUUGAACAGUCGAAACACAAAACCUGGGGUUCAGCAGGUGCAGCUCUUUCACCUCUAUCUCCGUCAUGUUCACUGUCACAAAUAAGAAGCAGUUCCGGACAGGCUCGGAUUCCUGAAUUGCUGCAAUAUGAUGGUCUUAGCCUGAUUUCUUUUGUGGUGAGGACUCACUUCUCUCUUCUCUAGGGUUUCCAAUCAUCAGUUAUCAUUUUCCUUCUAUCUGUUACUAUUAUUAUUUACUUAUUUGAGAGGCAGAGUUUUAGACAGAGAGAAGAGUGGGGGGCUCUUCCAUAAUCUGGUCCAUUACGCAAAUGGCCACAAUGGCCAGAGCUGAGCCAAUCCCAAGCCAGGAGCCAGGAUCUCUUCUGGGUUUCCCAUGUGAGUGCAGGGGCCCAUGCACCUGAGCCAUCUUCCACUGCUUUUACAGGCCAUUAUCAUGGAGCUGGUUUAGAAGUGGAGCAACCAGGAGACCAACCAGUGCCCAUCUGAGUACCACAGGAGGAGGAUUAGCUUCCUAUACCAUAGUGCCUGUCCCAUCUCCUUGUCUCUUAAUCCAGUCUAUCUGCUAAAUGGGAAACAGAAUAUUUCCAAUUUAAUGUCAUCUCAACAGUCAUUAGAAAAAUUGUCAUUUAGCAUUAUUUUUUAUUGUUACAUGCAUUUUAAAUCUACAGCUAGGGGGCCAGCAUUGUAGCAUAGUGGGUAAAGAAACUGCCUGUGACACCAUCAUCCCUUAUGGGUGCUGGUUCAAGACCUAGCUGCCCUAAUUGCAAUUCAUCUCCCUGCUAAUAUGCCCAGAAAUACAGUGGAGGAUGGUCCACUUGCUUGGGCCCCUGUACCCAUGUGAGGGAUCUGAAAGAAACUCCUGACUCCUGGUUCCAGCCAGAGCAUUGUGGCCAUUUGAGGCAUGAAACAGCAGAAAGAAGAUCUCUUGCUCUUUCUCUCUCUCUCUUUCUCUCUCUUUUUUUCUCUGUGUAACUCUUUCAAAUAAAUAAUUAUUUUUACAAUACA